UCGACAGCAGCACGGACUUCGGUCUGGUGGCGAGUGGCGAACGGGUGAGUAAUAUAUCGGAACGUACCCUGGAGUGGGGGAUAACGCAGCGAAAGUUGCGCUAAUACCGCAUACGAUCUACGGAUGAAAGUGGGGGCUCGCAAGACCUCAUGCUCGUGGAGCGGCCGAUAUCUGAUUAGCUAGUUGGUAGGGUAAAAGCCUACCAAGGCUUCGAUCAGUAGCUGGUCUGAGAGGACGACCAGCCACACUGGGACUGAGACACGGCCCAGACUCCUACGGGAGGCAGCAGUGGGGAAUUUUGGACAAUGGGGGCAACCCUGAUCCAGCAAUGCCGCGUGAGUGAAGAAGGCCUUCGGGUUGUAAAGCUCUUUUGUCAGGGAAGAAACGGUGAAGGCUAAUACUCUUUGCUAAUGACGGUACCUGAAGAAUAAGCACCGGCUAACUACGUGCCAGCAGCCGCGGUAAUACGUAGGGUGCAAGCGUUAAUCGGAAUUACUGGGCGUAAAGCGUGCGCAGGCGGUUAUGUAAGUCAGAUGUGAAAUCCCCGGGCUCAACCUGGGAAUGGCAUUUGAGACUGCAUGGCUAG
RNAcentral lists this ribosomal RNA (586 nucleotides) under uncultured bacterium. RNAcentral describes it as "bacterial SSU rRNA". It matches the Rfam family "Bacterial small subunit ribosomal RNA", at positions 62 to 644 of the family's 1533-position model. The record is from RNAcentral.